AAUGAAACCAGAUAUGACUUAGUGGCGGACGGGUGAGUAACACGUGAGCAACCUGCCUUUCAGAGGGGGAUAACGGCUGGAAACGGUCGCUAAUACCGCAUGACGUGUUCGGAUGGCAUCAUCUGAACAUCAAAGAUUUAUCGCUGAAAGAUGGGCUCGCGUCUGAUUAGAUAGUUGGGUGGGGUAACGGCCUACCAAGGCAACGAUCGGUAGCCGGACUGAGAGGUUGAACGGCCACAUUGGGGCUGAGACACGGCCCAGACUCC
This 266-nucleotide ribosomal RNA is filed under the name uncultured Bacillota bacterium. Its description in RNAcentral is "uncultured Firmicutes bacterium partial 16S ribosomal RNA". It matches the Rfam family "Bacterial small subunit ribosomal RNA", at positions 65 to 339 of the family's 1533-position model. The record is from RNAcentral. Lineage: Bacteria; Bacillati; Bacillota.